This is a small nuclear RNA of Ailuropoda melanoleuca (giant panda), 107 nucleotides long. NCBI's taxonomy places the organism in Eukaryota, Metazoa, Chordata, Mammalia, Carnivora, Ursidae. The record is from Ensembl.
GUGCUGGCUUCCGCAGCACAGACACUAAAAUUGGAAUGAUACAGAGAAGUUUCACGUGGCCCCUGUGUGAGGAUGACAUAUAAAUUCAUAAAGUGUUCCAUAUUUAG